UCCAAGGCUAAAUACGGGC
This 19-nucleotide small nuclear RNA is filed under the name Arabidopsis thaliana (thale cress). Its description in RNAcentral is "snRNA_02248". The record is from RNAcentral. Lineage: Eukaryota; Viridiplantae; Streptophyta; Magnoliopsida; Brassicales; Brassicaceae.